This 492-nucleotide ribosomal RNA is filed under the name uncultured bacterium. RNAcentral describes it as "partial 16S ribosomal RNA". It matches the Rfam family "Bacterial small subunit ribosomal RNA", at positions 29 to 507 of the family's 1533-position model. The record is from RNAcentral.
AGUGAACGCUGGCGGUAGGCCUAACACAUGCAAGUCGAACGGCAGCACAGUAAGAGCUUGCUCUUACGGGUGGCGAGUGGCGGACGGGUGAGGAAUACAUCGGAAUCUACUUUUUCGUGGGGGAUAACGUAGGGAAACUUACGCUAAUACCGCAUACGACCUACGGGUGAAAGCAGGGGAUCUUCGGACCUUGCGCGAUUGAAUGAGCCGAUGUCGGAUUAGCUAGUUGGCGGGGUAAAGGCCCACCAAGGCGACGAUCCGUAGCUGGUGUGAGAGGAUGAUCAGCCACACUGGAACUGAGACACGGUCCAGACUCCUACGGGAGGCAGCAGUGGGGAAUAUUGGACAAUGGGCGCAAGCAUGAUCCAGCCAUACCGCGUGGGUGAAGAAGGCCUUCGGGUUGUAAAGCCCUUUUGUUGGGAAAGAAAAGCAGCAGGUUAAUACCCCGCUGUUCUGACGGUACCCAAAGAAUAAGCACCGGCUAACUUCGUG